AUUGAACGCUGGCGGCAGGCCUAACACAUGCAAGUCGAGCGGAUGAAGGGAGCUUGCUCCUGGAUUCAGCGGCGGACGGGUGAGUAAUGCCUAGGAAUCUGCCUGGUAGUGGGGAUAACGACCGGAAAGGGGCGCUAAUACCGCAUACGUCCUGAGGGAGAAAGCGGGGGAUCUUCGGACCUGACGCUAUCAGAUGAGCCUAGGUCGGAUUAGCUUGGUGGUGGGGUAAAGGCCUACCAAGGCGACGAUCCGUAAGGGGUCUGAGUGGAUGAGCAGUCAGACUGGGACGGAGACACGGUCCAGAGUCCUACAGGAAGGGGCAAGAGGGAAUAUUGGAGCAGGGGUGGAAGCCUGUUCCCGACGUGCCGAGUGUGGGAAGAACGACUUCGGGUUGGAAAGCACGUUAAGUUGGGAGGAAGCGGAGUAAGUUAAUACCGUGCUGUUUGGACGUUACAAACAGAAUAAGCGCCGGCUAACUUAGUGC
Molecule: ribosomal RNA, 484 nt
Filed under: uncultured bacterium
Lineage: Bacteria
Description: partial 16S ribosomal RNA
Rfam family: Bacterial small subunit ribosomal RNA
Source: RNAcentral